RNAcentral lists this ribosomal RNA (462 nucleotides) under uncultured bacterium. RNAcentral's name for it is "partial 16S ribosomal RNA". It matches the Rfam family "Bacterial small subunit ribosomal RNA", at positions 28 to 523 of the family's 1533-position model. The record is from RNAcentral.
GAUGAACGCUGGCGGCGUGCCUAAUACAUGCAAGUCGAGCGGCAGCGCGGUCUUCGGACUGGCGGCGAGCGGCGGACGGCAGAGUAACGCGUAGGAACAUACCCCAACGUGAGGGAUAACUGCCCGAAAGGGUGGCUAAUACCGCAUGUGAUCUUCGGAUUAAAGCUUUAUGCGCUUUGGGAAGGGCCUGCGUUGGAUUAGCUUGUUGGUGAGGUAAUGGCUCACCAAGCCGACGAUCCGUAGCUGGUCUGAGAGGAUGACCAGCCAGACUGGAACUGAGACACGGUCCAGACUCCUACGGGAGGCAGCAGUGAGGAAUCUUCCACAAUGGGGGCAACCCUGAUGGAGCAACGCCGCGUGCAGGAUGAAGGCCUUCGGGUUGUAAACUGCUUUUAUUAGUGAAGAAUAUGACGGUAACUAAUGAAUAAGGAUCGGCUAACUACGUGCCAGCAGCCGCGGUAA